This 392-nucleotide unclassified non-coding RNA is filed under the name uncultured fungus. RNAcentral's name for it is "partial contains small subunit ribosomal RNA, internal transcribed spacer 1, and 5.8S ribosomal RNA". The stretch from base 1 to 73 matches the Rfam family "Eukaryotic small subunit ribosomal RNA", at positions 1759 to 1831 of the family's 1831-position model. The record is from RNAcentral. Lineage: Eukaryota; Fungi.
CCAAACUUGGUCAUUUAGAGGAAGUAAAAGUCGUAACAAGGUUUCCGUAGGUGAACCUGCGGAAGGAUCAUCAAUAAAUCCAAAUUAUUCACCCUUGUGAACUGUGUGCUGGAGUCGACGCGUUUCGCUCGAUUCUCAUGGCGCUUUCAUGGUCGUAGAUUAGUUUGUAGGGUUUAACUGCUACGAGCUUGUUUUCGUUUAUUCAGAAUAGUGGUUCUCUUUGGAUGCCAAUAUUUUGUUUGAGCUUGAAUUUGCUUGGUUAGACUCGAUGCUUUUCGGCGACUAGCGUCUAGCAAAAAACUCCUAAAAUCAUACAAGCUAAAGCAAAACAUAAUAAUUAAACAACUUUCAACAAUGGAUCUCUUGGCUCUCGCAUCGAUGAAGAACGCAGC